AUACGAAGGCGGCUAGCGUUGUUCGGAAUCACUGGGCGUAAAGCGCGCGUAGGUGGAUCAAUUAGUUGAGGGUGAAAUCCCGGGGCUCAACCUCGGAACUGCCUUCAAUACUGUUGAUCUUGAGACCGAGAGAGGUGAGUGGAAUUCCUAGUGUAGAGGUGAAAUUCGUAGAUAUUAGGAAGAACACCAGUGGCGAAGGCGGCUCACUGGCUCGGUACUGACGCUGAGGUGCAAAAGCGUGGGGAGCAAACAGGAUUAGAAACCCUAGUAGUCC
RNAcentral lists this ribosomal RNA (274 nucleotides) under uncultured bacterium. RNAcentral describes it as "partial 16S ribosomal RNA". It matches the Rfam family "Bacterial small subunit ribosomal RNA", at positions 523 to 796 of the family's 1533-position model. The record is from RNAcentral.